UACAGAGGGGGCAAGCGUUGUCCGGAAUUACUGGGCGUACAGCGCGCGCAGGCGGCUUUCUAAGUCCGUCGGUGAAAGACCGGGGCUCAACCCCGUGUCAGCCAUGGAUACUGGGAGGCUGGAGACAGGUAGAGGCAAGCGGAAUUCCGGGUGUAGCGGUGGAAUGCGUAGAUAUCUGGAGGAACACCGGUGGCGAAGGCGGCAUCCUGGACCGAGAUUGACGCUGAUGCGCGAAAGCCAGGGGAGCAAACGGG
Molecule: ribosomal RNA, 254 nt
Filed under: uncultured bacterium
Lineage: Bacteria
Description: partial 16S ribosomal RNA
Rfam family: Bacterial small subunit ribosomal RNA
Source: RNAcentral